This 653-nucleotide long non-coding RNA is filed under the name Heterocephalus glaber (naked mole-rat). RNAcentral describes it as "lncRNA (ENSHGLG00100046177.1)". Lineage: Eukaryota; Metazoa; Chordata; Mammalia; Rodentia; Bathyergidae. The record is from RNAcentral.
CCCAGCCCCGGCUGCAGAAGUGCACUCGCCUCUUGUCCCCGUCUCCUUCUCCAGCCCUUCAGCUUGUGCUGCAGGCACAAGCCUGGCACACAGGCAGUGCAGCCACGGCAGACCUGGAUCCCAUGCAGCCCAGCCUGGCCCACCAUGCAUCAGGGGAACCCAAGGCACUCAUUCUCCUGCCAGCCGACAGAGCACCCCGAAAGGACAGAGAGGAGCCACAGACAUGGAUGCCCUGGGCCCUACUGUUUGCCCGCUGAGCCCUGCACCAUUCUUGCACCUGGAUGUGUUGGGCAUGGGAAUGCAUCCGACCUGGGGUCAGAAGCACAGGAGGGCACGGGACCUGUCUGUCCACACCCCAGAUGCACACAGCUCUCCCCUGUUGUGUGGUCUCAGGAGCCUUUCAUAGACUAUGGUGGCUGAUGGCAGCAUGGCUCUUAGGGACACCCAUGAGCCACGCUAGGCCUGCCCUUCCUCAGCAUGUCCCCAGACCUUGGAGAGUCUGCCAAGCUGCAGCGAAGCCAGCUCCUGUGAAGUCCCCUGCGUGGAUGGGAGCUACUCCUCUCAGUGACCAGGACAUCUUGCCAAGCAGGAAGCUCCCUUGUUGCAUAAGUGGUGUCCCAGUGGGAGAUUCCCUGACAUCACUGUUCUCUUGC